Molecule: ribosomal RNA, 474 nt
Filed under: uncultured bacterium
Lineage: Bacteria
Description: bacterial SSU rRNA
Rfam family: Bacterial small subunit ribosomal RNA
Source: RNAcentral
GAUGAACGCUGGCGGCGUGCUUAACACAUGCAAGUCGAACGAAGCACUUCGAUUUCUUCGGAUUGAGGAGUGACUGAGUGGCGGACGGGUGAGUAACGCGUGGGUAACCUGCCUCAUACAGGGGGAUAACAGUUGGAAACGACUGCUAAUACCGCAUAACAUUCACGGACCGCAUGAUCUGUGAAUCAAAGCUUUAUGUGCUGGAAGAUGGCCUCGCGUCUGAUUAGGUAGUUGGUGAGGUAACGGCCCACCAAGCCGACGAUCAGUAGCCGACCUGAGAGGGUGAUCGGCCACAUUGGAACUGAGACACGGUCCAAACUCCUACGGGAGGCAGCAGUGGGGAAUAUUGGGCAAUGGGCGCAAGCCUGACCCAGCAACGCCGCGUGAGGGAAGAAGGUUUUCGGAUUGUAAACCUCUGUCCUAAGUGAAGAGCAGAAGACGGUAGCUUAGGAGGAAGCCCCGGCUAACUACGUG